UACAGGAAGGACUCCCUAUGUGCUGCACAUCACCCCCUUACUGGGCACCUCUAACCCAAGGAUAGGUGCUGGCUCCACUGUGGUGUCCAUCACCAGUAUCUUCACCAUCAGUGGUUUGUGCCAUAAAAGGACAUGCGGCUAGACCCUGUACAGUCAAGUUCCACAUAGUCACUUGCAUAAAACCUGAUUAGAAACACUGGUCAGAUAGCUCAUUUCUUUUCCAGGUUCAGCCAAAGCCUCCUUGAGUUUAUUUGUACAUUCGUAGAGGAUAUAUAGAGAUGAAAGUGUAUAUACUUCCAAGUCUCAAAUUUUGGAAGUGCCUAAACUAGGUGGUCAUUUUAAUGUCUAAAACUUGCAUUUUGUGAUUUUUUAUCUGAAAUACUGAGAUUAAAAUGGACUUGACUCAAAA
This is a long non-coding RNA of Artibeus jamaicensis (Jamaican fruit-eating bat), 409 nucleotides long. RefSeq lists it as uncharacterized. The record is from RefSeq and is a predicted model, not a curated record. NCBI's taxonomy places the organism in Eukaryota, Metazoa, Chordata, Mammalia, Chiroptera, Phyllostomidae. The transcript is spliced from 2 exons.